Molecule: ribosomal RNA, 863 nt
Filed under: uncultured bacterium
Lineage: Bacteria
Description: bacterial SSU rRNA
Rfam family: Bacterial small subunit ribosomal RNA
Source: RNAcentral
ACGCUGGCGGGUAUGCCUUACACAUGCAAGUCGAACGGAAUUUAGCUUCGGUUAAGUUUAGUGGCGGACGGGUGAGUAACACGUGAGAAUUUGCCUUUAGGAGGGGGAUAACUAGUGGAAACACUAGCUAAAACCCCAUAUACCCACGGGUGAAAAAGAGGAAGAAGGGAUAACCAUAACUCCUCUGCCUGAAGAGAAGCUCGCGGCUGAUUAGCUAGUUGGUAGGGUAAUGGCCUACCAAGGCGACGAUCAGUAGCUGGUCUGAGAGGACGAUCAGCCACACUGGAACUGAGACACGGUCCAGACUCCUACGGGAGGCAGCAGUGAGGAAUUUUCUGCAAUGGGCGAAAGCCUGACAGAGCAAUACCGCGUGAGGGAAGAAGGCUUACUGAGUUGUAAACCUCGGUGCCUUAAGGAAGAAGAUCUGACGGUACUUAAGGUGGAAAGCAUCGGCUAACCCCGUGCCAGCAGCCGCGGUAAGACGGGGGAUGCAAGUGUUAUCCGGAAUCACUGGGCGUAAAGCGUCUGCAGGUGGUUUCUUAAGUCCACUGUUAAACCUUGAGGCUCAACCUCAAAUCUGCAGUGGAAACUAGGAAACUUGAGGAUAGUAGGGGUAGAGGGAAUUUCCAGUGGAGCGGUGAAAUGCGUAGAUAUUGGAAAGAACACCGAUGGCGAAGGCACUCUACUGGGCUAUGACUGACACUCAGAGACGAAAGCUAGGGGAGCAAAUGGGAUUAGAUACCCCAGUAGUCCUAGCCGUAAACGAUGGAUACUCGAUGUUGGACGUAUCGACCCGUUCAGUAUCUUAGCUAACGCGUUAAGUAUCCCGCCUGGGGAGUACGCUCGCAAGAGUGAAACUCCAA